UACGUAGGGUGCAAGCGUUGUCCGGAAUUAUUGGGCGUAAAGAGCUCGUAGGCGGUGUGUCGCGUCGGUCGUGAAAACUUGGGGCUUAACUCUGAGCUUGCGGUCGAUACGGGCAUCACUGGAGUUCGGCAGGGGAGACUGGAAUUCCUGGUGUAGCGGUGAAAUGCGCAGAUAUCAGGAGGAACACCGGUGGCGAAGGCGGGUCUCUGGGCCGAUACUGACGCUGAGGAGCGAAAGCGUGGGGAGCGAACAGG
RNAcentral lists this ribosomal RNA (254 nucleotides) under uncultured bacterium. RNAcentral's name for it is "partial 16S ribosomal RNA". It matches the Rfam family "Bacterial small subunit ribosomal RNA", at positions 524 to 776 of the family's 1533-position model. The record is from RNAcentral.